This 399-nucleotide ribosomal RNA is filed under the name Agrobacterium tumefaciens. RNAcentral describes it as "bacterial SSU rRNA". It matches the Rfam family "Bacterial small subunit ribosomal RNA", at positions 1010 to 1378 of the family's 1533-position model. Lineage: Bacteria; Pseudomonadati; Pseudomonadota; Alphaproteobacteria; Hyphomicrobiales; Rhizobiaceae. The record is from RNAcentral.
CUUCACUUAGUGCUGGCCCCACAACAUGGUUANCGCAUGGCUCGUCAGUCAGCUCGUGUCGUGAGAUGUUGGGUUAACCUCCCGAAAUUAGCGCAACCCUUGGCCCUCUCAUUGCCAGCAGUUGUAUGUUGGGCACUCCUAAUGGGGACUGCCGGGUUAUAGAGCGCGUAGAGCGCACAAGGGCUGUGGGACUGACGUCAAGUUCCCUCGAUGGGCCCCUUACUGGGNCUGGGGCAUACACACGUGCUACAAUGGUGGUGACAGUGGGCAGCGAGACAGCGAUGUCGAGCUAAUCUCCAAAAGCCAUCUCAGUUCGGAUUGCACUCUGCAACUCGAGUGCAUGAAGUUGGAAUCGCUAGUAAUCGCAGAUCAGCAUGCUGCGGUGAAUACGUUCCCGGG